RNAcentral lists this ribosomal RNA (460 nucleotides) under uncultured bacterium. RNAcentral describes it as "partial 16S ribosomal RNA". It matches the Rfam family "Bacterial small subunit ribosomal RNA", at positions 338 to 795 of the family's 1533-position model. The record is from RNAcentral.
CCUACGGGUGGCAGCAGUGAGGAAUAUUGGUCAAUGGGCGCGAGCCUGAACCAGCCAAGUAGCGUGAAGGAUGACUGCCCUAUGGGUUGUAAACUUCUUUUAUAAAGGAAUAAAGUGAGGCACGUGUGCCUUUCUGUAUGUACCUUAUGAAUAAGGAUCGGCUAACUCCGUGCCAGCAGCCGCGGUAAUACGGAGGAUCCGAGCGUUAUCCGGAUUUAUUGGGUUUAAAGGGUGCGUAGAUGGGUUGUUAAGUCAGUUGUGAAAGUUUGCGGCUCAACCGUAAAAUUGCAAUUGAUACUGGCAGGCUUGAGUACAGUUGAGGUAGGCGGAAUUCGUGGUGUAGCGGUGAAAUGCUUAGAGAUCACGAAGAACUCCGAUUGCGAAGGCAGCUUACUAAGCUGCCACUGACAUUGAUGCUCGAAAGUGUGGGUAUCAAACAGGAUUAGAUACCCGGGUAGUC